Molecule: ribosomal RNA, 750 nt
Filed under: uncultured archaeon
Lineage: Archaea
Description: bacterial SSU rRNA
Rfam family: Archaeal small subunit ribosomal RNA
Source: RNAcentral
AGGAUGAGACUGCGUCUGAUUAGGUAGUUGGUGGGGUAACGGCCCACCAAGCCCAUCAUCAGUACGGGUUGUGGGAGCAAGAUCCCGGAGAUGGAUUCUGAGACAUGAAUCCAGGCCCUACGGGGCGCAGCAGGCGCGCAAACUUUACAAUGCGAGCAAUCGUGAUAAGGAAACCCUGAGUGCCUGUUGAUGCAGGCUGUUCAUUAGUUUAAAUUGCUAGUGAAGAAAGGGCAGGGCAAGACCGGUGCCAGCCGCCGCGGUAAUACCGGCUGCUCGAGUGAUGGCCACUAUUACCGGGUUUAAAGCGUCCGUAGCUUGAUUGUUAGGUCUCUUGGGAAAUCUUCAGGCUUAACCUUAAGGCGUCUAAGAGAUACCGGCAAUCUUGGGACUGGGAGAGGUAAACCGUACUUCGGGGGUAGGAGUGAAAUCUUGUAAUCCUCGAGGGACGACCUAUGGCGAAGGCAGUUUACCAGAACAGCUUCGACAGUGAGGGACGAAAGCUGGGGGAGCAAACGGGAUUAGAUACCCCGGUAGUCCCAGCCGUAAACAAUGUGCGUUAGGUGUAUCGGCAACCACGCGUUACUGAUGCGCCGCAGAGAAAUCGUGAAACGCACCACCUGGGAAGUAUGGUCGCAAGGCUGAAACUUAAAGGAAUUGGCGGGGGAGCACCACAACAGGUGGAGCCUGCGGUUUAAUUGGAUUCAACGCCGGACAUCUCACCGGGUAAGACAGCUGAAUGAUUGUCAAUCU